This is a long non-coding RNA of Aphis gossypii (cotton aphid), 1879 nucleotides long. RefSeq lists it as uncharacterized. The record is from RefSeq and is a predicted model, not a curated record. The transcript has 4 exons. Lineage: Eukaryota; Metazoa; Arthropoda; Insecta; Hemiptera; Aphididae.
UAUUAUAAGACCAUUAAUAACUGUAUUACGUAUUUUCACAUCAGCUGUUAUUUGUAUUGUUCUGUGCACGAUUACAGAUAUCAUGGUUUAUGGUUACAUGAUAUGAAGUAUACCUAAUACUUGGUUAUCGUGAAGCACAUGGCAAUACGUUGAGUAUCUGAUAAACGGUUAUGAGGUUAUAAACUUAUAAGAUUAUAAGCACGAUGUGAUUGUAAGAUUUAAUAAUUAUUGAAUUGGCUCGAAUCGAGUCGUUAAUGUUAAUAAAGUUUUACUUUUUAGUAUUUAUCAGUUUUAAGUGUUUAAAUUUUAAUAAUGCACAUAUUAUGUUAUAAUAAAGUUCAAGUUUAAUAUUUACAUUAUAAAAAGUUCUUGAAUAUAUUUUUCUUAUCUACCACAUAUUGUAUUUUAUUUAAUAUUUUAAUCAAAUAAGCAAGUACCUAAAGUGGUUAAUCACAUGACAAUUGAAUACUUGGCGAGUAGGUACAUAAUAUAAAUAAUAUUAUGUACAAUUUGUUGUUUAAUCAUUUAUACAUCUACAAUUGUUGUUUAAAUGUAUAGCAAAUGGUUUGCUGUUACCCAGUGGAUAAUAAAUGCGUUGUUAUAUAAUCAAGUAUCAUAGCACUACAUAGAAAUAUUACUAACAACUAAGAUGUGUCAGCCAGUUAUUGAGUUUUGUUUAUUUUGUUACUUCAAUUUGGCACAUAGAUAGUCCUAGACUAUUUAUAUUUACUACAAACAUACUUAGACAGAUGAUUUAAUUCAUAAAAAAAAGUGAUUAUAAAAUAAUUCAUACACAUAAUAAUAUAUUAUGAUUCCAAAUUGGAAUUUGAAUAUGCAAUAGUAAAAUCUAAUAUCAUAUACACUUUGGAAGAUCUUCUAUAUUAAAAUGAUAUUUAUACUACCAUUUCCAAUUACAUUUAAAAAUACCAAUAUUUUGAUAACAGUGAAAAAUAAAAUAUUGCUUCACGUAUUAGAUUUAAAUAUGACUACAAAAUAAAUUAAGUGUAAUCAAGUUAAUAAUUGCAAGAAGUGGAAAAAAAUCUAUUAGGAUUAACUGCACAUUAUAACUUACACAUAAUAUAUUAUGAUUCCAAAUUAGAAUUUGAAUAUGCAAUAGUGAAAUCUAAUAUCACAUACACUUUGGAAGAUCCUCUAUGUUAAAAUGAUAUUUAUACUACCAUUUCCAAUUACAUUUAAAAAUACCGAUAUUUUGAUAACAGUGAAAAAUAAAAUAUUGCUUCACGUAUUAGAUUUAAAUAUGACUACAAAAUAAAUUAAGUGUAAUUAAGUCAAUAAUUGCAAGAAGUGGAAAAAAAAUCUAUUUGGACAACCAACUGCACAUUACCAAUGAUAUUUAUUGAAAACUAAGAAUUGUGCUAGUGUUAAUGUUUUAUAAUUUGUAUGUAAUUUUAUAAUUAAUUUAUGUGAGGUGACAACAUCAAUCAUUACAACUUAAAAGAUAAAUGUAUGUUGUGUUUAAUACACAUUACCUACACAUAUUGUGUAAAUUGCGUAAAGCAAAUAAAAAAUUUAAAAAAAUAGUAAGUAGGUAUGUGAUUAAUUAUUAUUAUGCAUAUAAAAUUACUACUAAGUAAUUGCUCAAUAUAAAUUCUUUCUGUAAAUGAUUGGUGUUGUCAUUAAAUAUUAAUUUGUACUAAAUUCGAGUUAAAAUAUUAUUAACAGCAUUUUAAAAAUUUUACUUUUGUUUUAAGUCUGGGGUUAUUGGAAAGUUGGUUUCAAUUUUUUGAAUACAUGUUAUAUCUUUACUCAUAUUUUGCAAAACUGCAAAACGACAAUUUUGAUUUAAUUGUAUCAUCAUUUUGGAAUAGAUUUUUCAUAGUUCUGGGCUUAUAAAUGAAAGUAAAAUUUUUAAUGGUUC